UGGUGCAAUCUCAGCUCACUGCAACCUCUGCCUUUUGGGAUCAAGCGAUUCUCCUGCCUCAGACUCCCAAGUAGCUAGGAUUACAGGUCAUCUGAAUAUCCAGGCACAACCCAGGCAUACCAGACCUUGAUCACACUGGACGUGCGUGACUGUGGGGAUGUGGUGUGUAAAGCAAGAAAACAUAGGGACAGAAAUACAACACUGGAGAGAUCACUUGAUGUCAUUUCUGAUGGCUUUUAUCCAUCUUGCCCAAAUAAAAUAAACAAAUUUCCCUGGUACUUUA
RNAcentral lists this long non-coding RNA (283 nucleotides) under Pongo abelii (Sumatran orangutan). Its description in RNAcentral is "lincRNA". The record is from RNAcentral. Lineage: Eukaryota; Metazoa; Chordata; Mammalia; Primates; Hominidae.